This is a non-coding RNA of Acanthosepion pharaonis, 102 nucleotides long. The record is from the annotation of a GenBank genome assembly. Lineage: Eukaryota; Metazoa; Mollusca; Cephalopoda; Sepiida; Sepiidae.
UUACGAACAUAUCACGUUGAAACCCCGGUUCCCGUACGAUCACUGAAGUUAAGCAACGUCGAGCCUGUUUGGGUGACCACUUGGGAAUACCAGAUGCUGUAA